This 489-nucleotide ribosomal RNA is filed under the name uncultured bacterium. Its description in RNAcentral is "partial 16S ribosomal RNA". It matches the Rfam family "Bacterial small subunit ribosomal RNA", at positions 30 to 506 of the family's 1533-position model. The record is from RNAcentral.
AUUGAACGCUGGCGGCAGGCCUAACACAUGCAAGUCGAACGGUAACAGGAAGAAGCUUGCUUCUUUGCUGACGAGUGGCGGACGGGUGAGUAAUGUCUGGGAAACUGCCUGAUGGAGGGGGAUAACUACUGGAAACGGUAGCUAAUACCGCAUAACGUCGCAAGACCAAAGAGGGGGACCUUCGGGCCUUUUGCCAUCGGAUGUGCCCAGAUGGGAUUAGCUAGUAGGUGGGGUAACGGCUCACCUAGGCGACGAUCCCUAGCUGGUCUGAGAGGAUGACCAGCCACACUGGAACUGAGACACGUUCCAGACUCCUACGGGGGGCAGCAGUGGGGAAUAUUGCACAAUGGGCGCAAGCCUGAUGCAGCCAUGCCGCGUGUAUGAAGAAGGCCUUCGGGUUGUAAAGUACUUUCAGCGGGGAGGAAGGGAGUAAAGUUAAUACCUUUGCUCAUUGACGUUACCCGCAGAAGAAGCACCGGCUAACUCCGU